Molecule: ribosomal RNA, 483 nt
Filed under: bacterium Chen9
Lineage: Bacteria
Description: bacterial SSU rRNA
Rfam family: Bacterial small subunit ribosomal RNA
Source: RNAcentral
UGGGCUUUUCCAAUGGGGGCGUUCGAUGUUAGUCGAGCGGAUGAGUGGAGCUUGCUCCAUGAUUCAACGGCGGACGGGUGAGUAAUGCCUAGGAAUCUGCCUGGUAGUGGGGGACAACGUUUCGAAAGGAACGCUAAUACCGCAUACGUCCUACGGGAGAAAGUGGGGGAUCUUCGGACCUCACGCUAUCAGAUGAGCCUAGGUCGGAUUAGCUAGUUGGUGGGGUAAAGGCUCACCAAGGCGACGAUCCGUAACUGGUCUGAGAGGAUGAUCAGUCACACUGGAACUGAGACACGGUCCAGACUCCUACGGGAGGCAGCAGUGGGGAAUAUUGGACAAUGGGCGAAAGCCUGAUCCAUCCAUGCCGCGUGUGUGAAGAAGGUCUUCGGAUUGUAAAGCACUUUAAGUUGGGAGGAAGGGCAGUAAGUUAAUACCUUGCUGUUUUGACGUUACCGACAGAAUAAGCACCGCCUAACUUCGUGC